AAGCAACGCGAAGAACCUUACCAGGUCUUGACAUCCCGAUGCUAUUUCUAGAGAUAGAAAGUUACUUCGGUACAUCGGUGACAGGUGGUGCAUGGUUGUCGUCAGCUCGUGUCGUGAGAUGUUGGGUUAAGUCCCGCAACGAGCGCAACCCUAUUGUUAGUUGCCAUCAUUCAGUUGGGCACUCUAGCGAGACUGCCGGUAAUAAACCGGAGGAAGGUGGGGAUGACGUCAAAUCAUCAUGCCCCUUAUGACCUGGGCUACACACGUGCUACAAUGGUUGGUACAACGAGUUGCGAGUCGGUGACGGCGAGCUAAUCUCUUAAAGCCAAUCUCAGUUCGGAUUGUAGGCUGCAACUCGCCUACAUGAAGUCGGAAUCGCUAGUAAUCGCGGAUCAGCACGCCGCGGUCGAAUACGUUCCCGGGCCUU
This 427-nucleotide ribosomal RNA is filed under the name uncultured Streptococcus sp. RNAcentral describes it as "bacterial SSU rRNA". It matches the Rfam family "Bacterial small subunit ribosomal RNA", at positions 954 to 1382 of the family's 1533-position model. Lineage: Bacteria; Bacillati; Bacillota; Bacilli; Lactobacillales; Streptococcaceae. The record is from RNAcentral.